RNAcentral lists this small RNA (2338 nucleotides) under Pongo abelii (Sumatran orangutan). Its description in RNAcentral is "processed transcript". Lineage: Eukaryota; Metazoa; Chordata; Mammalia; Primates; Hominidae. The record is from RNAcentral.
CAGGUCCCACUCGCUCACCAGAGGGGGCAGCCUUACACUUUAUCCCCCAGGUGACUGAGGACCCAACAGUGUGCUCCUUGCUUGGAGGCUAAUGAUGAGCUCCUAAUUUCCCUGUGGACUUGGCUUCUACAAGACAGGCUUCUGGAGACGCUGUGGAUUCUCUCCUGAGCGACUAGGGGCUGGCAGGAAGGGCAGGCGCUUGGUGCUGCAUCUCAAUCCCUGCAGCCCCAGGAGCAGCGGCAGCAGGAACAUGUAUGGAUUUAUCAACACCUGUCUGCAAUCUCUUGUGACAGAGAAAUUUGGCGAAGAAAUAUGGGAAAAAUUGAAAACUUCUGCAGAAGUACAAGAUGCCUUCAUGACCUACACAAUGUAUGAUGACAUCAUCACCAUUAAGCUCAUCCAAGAGGCCUGCAACAUUCUGGGAGAUGAAUGCACCAUCGUUUCGUGUGGAGAGAGGAGCAGAUGGGAAAAUGUUUUUCCAUUACUACUCGGGUAGAGGUGGUCUGUGCCACAUUGUACAGGCCCUCCUGGCAGCUUUCCUCAGGAUGAAGGAGAAGUAUUUGAAUGUCUCUUCUUAUCCUGUGAAAAAAUUCCACUGGGAUGUUGUGAGAAGCAUAGUCAUGUUUGGAAAAGGGCAUCUCAUGAACACCUUUGAGCCAAUUUAUCCUGAGAGACUCUGGAUUGAAGAGAAGACAUUCUGCUAUGCUUUUCCUUUCCACAUUGUAUUUGAUGAAUCACUACGGGUGAAGCAAGCCGGAGUGAACAGUCAGAAGUACGUACCAGGACUCCAAACCCAGAAGAUUCAACUGGAUGAGUAUUUCUCCAUCAUUCAUCCUCAAGUUACCUUCAACAUUUUCAGCAUCCUCAAAUUUAUCAACAGUCAAUUUGUCCUGAAGACACGAAGAGAAAUGAUACCUGUAGCAUGGCAAAGUCAGACCACACUCAAACUUCGAGUCCAGAUGAUCUGGAUGGAGUGCAUGCGGUGCAUGGUGUACCUGUGCUCUCCAAAGUUCCGCAGCCUGCAAGAGCUGGAAGAACUCAAUAUGCAUCUUUCUGACAUCGCCCCCCACGACACCACCAGGGAUCUCAUCCUCCUGAACCAGCAGCGGCUGGCUGAGAUAGAGCUGUCCAACCAGCUGGAAAGGAAGAAGGAGGAGCUACGGGUCCUCUCCAAGCACUUGGCCAUUGAAAAGAAGAAAACAGAGACCUUACUUUGUGCCAUGCUGCCCAAACAUGUGGCCAACCAGCUGAGGGAGGGCAAAAAGGUGGCUGCAGGAGAAUGUAAAAGCUGCACGAUUCUUUUCAGUGAUGUAGUGACAUUUACUAACAUCUGUACUGCCUGUGAACCUAUACAAAUAGUGAACAUGCUGAACUCCAUGUACUCCAAGUUUGACAGAUUAACCAGUGUGCACGCGGUCUAUAGUAGAAACAAUAGGAGAUGCUUAUAUGGUGGUAGGAGGUGUACCAGUGCCUUUUGGAAGCCAUGCUCAAAGAGUGGCUAAUUUUGCCUUGGGGAUGAGAAUUUCUGCAAAGGAAGUGAUAAAUCCUGUUACUGGAGAACACAUCCAGGUAGAGAGCAAUUGAGUACUUGGCUUAAUGCCAAACAUCUCACACACAAAAGUAGAAUUCUGCUUAUGUGCUUAGGUGAUUACUGGGUAAGUUGCCGUCAUUAAAAUGGGUAAUGUAUCCUAGCCCUUUUCUUCUCUUGCGUAUGUCCCUAAUAGAGAUAUUCCUAAGGCUACUGUAGUCUCAACUUUUCUCAAAUUUCAGAGGAGGCUGCGGUGCUCAAGGUUUUCCUACGAUUGACUGCAAGCUUCCUUUGUCGGUAAUUUAGGACCAUGCUGAGCAGUUCUUCCUAUUUACCUAGCAGGGCUCAAUCCAUCUUAAAAACCAGCUCAUUUAUAAUUCCUGCUUUUUUGUUCAAGCAUUUCAACAAGUGGUUCAGGUUUAGUGAGCAGCCAACUUUUCCUGCUUAGGAAAUUGUGUCUCCAACAUGCCAUCUGACAGGUUCAGAACUCAGGCUGAGGUGUGAAGCUGCCUGCAGUCAGCAGGACAGGCACCGUGAUGCUGUAAGAUAUUCAGAAUGGCUUUCCUUCCACCACGUGGCCACUAGCGAGACAUCUGCCCGCCUUUCUCACAGAAAAGUACAUUUCCAAGUCUGGAAGUUUGUUCGCACUCUAAAAGUUGAGCAGUUUUGGAGAUGAAAAAUGAAUGUCCUCCUCUGCUGGCUCAGCAGAUCCUAAUGCUCCUGGGAUGGCUGACAGCGGCGUCUCUCUGCCUUUGAUUUCUAGAUGUUUCCCCUGCUAAUAUCAGUCAUAAAUUCAAAAUAAACUAAAUA